Molecule: non-coding RNA, 628 nt
Organism: Callithrix jacchus (white-tufted-ear marmoset)
Lineage: Eukaryota; Metazoa; Chordata; Mammalia; Primates; Cebidae
Source: RefSeq, a predicted model, not a curated record
GGUCAAAAUGCAGAUCUUCGUGAAGACCCUGACCGGCAAGACCAUCACCCUGGAGGUGGAGCCUAGUGACACCAUCAAAAAUGCGAAGGCCAAGAUCCAGGAUAAGGAAGGCAGCCCCCCGACCAGCAGAGGCUCAUCUUUGCAGGCAAGCAGCUGGAAGAUGGCCGCACUCUGACUACAAUAUCCAGAAAGAGUCAACCUUGCACCUGGUCCUGUGUCUGAGAGGUGGUAUGCAGAUCUUCGUGAAGACCCUUACCGGCAAGACCAUCACCCUGGAGGUGGAGACCAGUGACACCAUCGAAAACGUGAAGGCCAAGAUCCAGGAUAAGGAAGACAUCCCCCACCCCGACUAGCGGAGGCUCAUCUUUGCAGGCAAGCAGCUGGAAGAUGGCCAGACUCUUUCUGAUUACAGCAUCCAGAAAGAGUCGGCCUUGCACCUGGUCCUGUGUCUGAGGGGUGGCUGUUAAUUCUUCAGUCUUGCAUUCGCAGUGCCCAGUGAUGGCAAUACUCUGCACUACAGCCAUUUGCCCCAACUUAAGUUUAGACAUUACAAGUUUCAGUUAUAGCUGAACCUGUUCAAAAUGUUAAUAAAGGUUUUGCUGCAUGGUAAAAAAAAAAAAAAAAAAAA